UCGGGUUGUUUGGGAAUGCA
This 20-nucleotide non-coding RNA is filed under the name Arabidopsis thaliana (thale cress). The record is from RNAcentral. Lineage: Eukaryota; Viridiplantae; Streptophyta; Magnoliopsida; Brassicales; Brassicaceae.